Molecule: long non-coding RNA, 960 nt
Organism: Hemiscyllium ocellatum (epaulette shark)
Lineage: Eukaryota; Metazoa; Chordata; Chondrichthyes; Orectolobiformes; Hemiscylliidae
Exons: 7
Source: RefSeq, a predicted model, not a curated record
GACACAGACGGUCUCUCUGAGGGUGUCGCUAACUCUGUACGGAUGGUCUGUAUCCGCUCUACGAAGAAGCGGUUCGGCUCACGAGCUGCCGUCAUGACGUUGAUAUCUGCGGGAGUGUGUUAAUUGCGCAGUUGGCCAUUUUCAUAUCUGAAGAAUGGGAAUUGGAUAGGUUCACUACAGUGUUUGCUCUAACAGGAAUUGAAUGCUCAUUGUCUGUCAUUUUUCUUUGGAUCCAAGAGCCCAUUGUUGUAAUGGAAGAUGGCUAAAUAGAGCUGACCUGACUUCAAUCACAAAUUGGCUUUUGUCAGUGCUGAAGGUAGAGAUGUUGACCAUCCUGAAUGCUUGGGUAUACACACGGAUGAUUAAUUUUCAGCAAUUGGCAUUGAAGAAACAUGACAGUAUUUUGUCAAAGAUUCUGCUGAAAGUGUGCAAAUGAAGAGCUAUUGAAAAUACUAUUCGUUCAGACUGAAACACCUAUUGAUCAUUUUCUUGUGGAUAUUCUGAUAUGCAAUUGAAGUCCGCUGUUCUCGUAUAUUGAGGUUUCUGCCAUUGUUGACUAUCAGUCUGCAUUAUGCAAAUGUUUUGAUUAGUUGGUGUUAGCUUAAAUUGUAUGGUUUUUUCCCCAUUUUACAUGUUAAAAUUGUUUUGUUACUUGUUGUAAUUUUUCAGUUACUGCUGUACACUAGUUGAUUUACUGAAGACUUGUGAACAAAUGGAUAAAACGGCACUUUGUAAAUUGUUCUCGUACCAAACAUUUGUAAGAACGUGAUGUUAGUACCUUUAUUUUCCCAGUUCUAAAUCUGUUGUUCCUUUGCUGUUCUCAUGCCAUGUCUCAUUAUGCCCAGAAUGUAACAUGUUGCAGUCCUGCAUUCCACUCAAUUUCUUACAUGCUGCAUUCCAGCCUGAACCUGUAACUUUGAAAGUGAGCACGUACUUAAUAAAUAUGCCAGCCAAUUGUCA